This 552-nucleotide long non-coding RNA is filed under the name Bos taurus (domestic cattle). Its description in RNAcentral is "long non-coding RNA NONBTAT018284". Lineage: Eukaryota; Metazoa; Chordata; Mammalia; Artiodactyla; Bovidae. The record is from RNAcentral.
GAUAGUGUGAACAUCCUUUCUGGAUUGUGCCUGAAAAAAAAUUGCUCACUAGAAUUCUAAAUUUCCCCGAUGUGUCAGUGAAUCUUUGUUUUGACAAAUUGUUCCAUAUCAGAAGCUUUAAAUAUAUCAGUUAUAUAAUUUGCAAAUAGGAGUGAUUUCUAUCAGAGAUUUAGACACAACUUUGCUUCUUCAUCAAAAAGAAUUCUAAAGUACUAAUUUUGCAUUGUGCUAUUUUAGGGUAUGUACAAAGAGAAUUAUUUAAAUAUGGUUCCAAACCCUCAGGACUGUACAAUCUCAGAAAACACUGGCAAGAAAAAAUAUAAAAAGACAUGGAAAAUGCUAACCAACCACAGAACAAAGGCAAGAAAGUGACAGAGUUGACCGUGAUUUUAAGUUCAGUUCACGUAUAAAUGUUUUGUAACUUAUGUUGUUGAUAAAAUUUUUAAGGACAAAAUUCUGAAAUUUAUUAUGUUUCCAGUUCAUUCAAAAUGUAUUUUUACAUUAUUGGUACUCAAUAAACUAUAGAGAGGAAACCUCUUUGGGACAAGGGAU